RNAcentral lists this ribosomal RNA (414 nucleotides) under uncultured bacterium. RNAcentral's name for it is "bacterial SSU rRNA". It matches the Rfam family "Bacterial small subunit ribosomal RNA", at positions 918 to 1341 of the family's 1533-position model. The record is from RNAcentral.
GGCCCGCACAAGCGGUGGAGUAUGUGGUUUAAUUCGACGCAACGCGCAGAACCUUACCCAGCCUUGACAUUAUAGAGAAUCCUUCAGAGAUGUAGGAGUGCUUUUACGAGAACUUUAUAACAGGUGCUGCAUGGCUGUCGUCAGCUCGUGUCGUGAGAUGUUCGGUUAAGUCCGGUAACGAGCGCAACCCCUAUCCAUAGUUACUAUAGGACUCUAUGGAGACUGCCGGUGUCAAACCGGAGGAAGGUGGGGACGACGUCAAGUCCUCAUGGCCCUUACGGCUGGGGCUACACACGUACUACAAUGGCACUUACAAUGGGAAGCAAUAUCGCGAGAUGGAGCAAAUCCCCAAAGGGUGCCUCAGUUCGGAUUGGAGUCUGCAACUCGACUCCAUGAAGUUGGAAUCGCUAGUAA